Myotis brandtii (Brandt's bat) is the source of this 201-nucleotide long non-coding RNA. RefSeq lists it as uncharacterized. The record is from RefSeq and is a predicted model, not a curated record. The transcript has 3 exons. Lineage: Eukaryota; Metazoa; Chordata; Mammalia; Chiroptera; Vespertilionidae.
CCAGCCCCGGGGUCCCUAGGUGUUUCCAUUCCUGAUCAGGACUGAACACAGACCACUUACCAUGGGGUUUUGUCUCAGCUGGGUUUUUAUUGUGGCUCUUUUAAGAGGUGUCCAGUGUGAGGUGCAUCUGGUGGAGUCUGGGGAAGGCUUGGAGCAGCCUGUGGGGUGGAGGGGGUCUCUGAGACUCUCCUGUGCAGGCUC